UGUCAUAUGAUGAUGCCCAUGCGUGUCAGCUGAUCUCCAUUUCUGUUCCAGUUCUCUCUAGCUUCCUGACGUUCUGUUAGCUGGCUUUAUGACACUGGAAGCUUUAUGGAAACAUGAUCAUACAUAUGGCUUCCUGAAGACA
Small nucleolar RNA from Protopterus annectens (West African lungfish), 142 nucleotides. RefSeq annotates it as small nucleolar RNA SNORD10. The record is from RefSeq and is a predicted model, not a curated record. NCBI's taxonomy places the organism in Eukaryota, Metazoa, Chordata, Ceratodontiformes, Protopteridae. The transcript has a single exon.